UACGAAGGGGGCUAGCGUUGCUCGGAAUGACUGGGCGUAAAGCGCGCGUAGGCGGCUACUUAAGUCGGAUGUGAAAGCCCCUGGCUCAACUGGGGAAGUGCACCCGAAACUGAGUGGCUUGAGUACUAAAGAGGGUCGCGGAAUUCCCGGUGUAGAGGUGAAAUUCGUAGAUAUCGGGAGGAACACCGGUGGCGAAGGCGGCGACCUGGGUAGAUACUGACGCUGAGGCGCGAAAGCGUGGGGAGCAAACAGG
This 253-nucleotide ribosomal RNA is filed under the name uncultured bacterium. Its description in RNAcentral is "partial 16S ribosomal RNA". It matches the Rfam family "Bacterial small subunit ribosomal RNA", at positions 524 to 776 of the family's 1533-position model. The record is from RNAcentral.